This 505-nucleotide ribosomal RNA is filed under the name uncultured bacterium. RNAcentral describes it as "partial 16S ribosomal RNA". It matches the Rfam family "Bacterial small subunit ribosomal RNA", at positions 28 to 507 of the family's 1533-position model. The record is from RNAcentral.
GACGAACGCUGGCGGCGUGCCUAAUACAUGCAAGUAGAACGCACAGUUUAUACCGUAGCUUGCUACACCAUAGACUGUGAGUUGCGAACGGGUGAGUAACGCGUAGGUAACCUGCCUGGUAGCGGGGGAUAACUAUUGGAAACGAUAGCUAAUACCGCAUAAUAUUAAUUAUUGCAUGAUAAUUAAUUAAAAGGUGCAAUUGCACCACUACCAGAUGGACCUGCGUUGUAUUAGCUAGUAGGUGAGGUAACGGCUCACCUAGGCGACGAUACAUAGCCGACCUGAGAGGGUGAUCGGCCACACUGGGACUGAGACACGGCCCAGACUCCUACGGGAGGCAGCAGUAGGGAAUCUUCGGCAAUGGACGAAAGUCUGACCGAGCAACGCCGCGUGAGUGAAGAAGGUUUUCGGAUCGUAAAGCUCUGUUGUAAGAGAAGAACGGGUGUGAGAGUGGAAAGUUCACACUGUGACGGUAUCUUACCAGAAAGGGACGGCUAACUACGUG